AUUGAGAGGAGGUGCAUGGCCGCCGUCAGCUCGUACCGUGAGGCGUCCUGUUAAGUCAGGCAACGAGCGAGACCCGCACUCUUAAUUGCCAGCAGCAGCUCCGGCUGGCUGGGUACAUUAAGAGGACUGCCGUGGCUAACACGGAGGAAGGAACGGGCAACGGUAGGUCAGUAUGCCCCGAAUGUGCUGGGCAACACGCGGG
Non-coding RNA from Halobacteriaceae archaeon, 202 nucleotides. Lineage: Archaea; Methanobacteriati; Methanobacteriota; Halobacteria; Halobacteriales; Halobacteriaceae. The record is from Rfam.